GGAAGCGUACCCAAGCGGUCAAAGGGAACUGUCUUGAAAACAGAGAGCUGGGAAACUGGGCGUAGGUUCGAAUCCUACCGCUUCCG
Molecule: transfer RNA, 86 nt
Filed under: Caudoviricetes sp.
Lineage: Duplodnaviria; Heunggongvirae; Uroviricota; Caudoviricetes
Description: tRNA-Ser
Rfam family: tRNA
About the family: Transfer RNA (tRNA) molecules are approximately 80 nucleotides in length. Their secondary structure includes four short double-helical elements and three loops (D, anti-codon, and T loops). Further hydrogen bonds mediate the characteristic L-shaped molecular structure. tRNAs have two regions of fundamental functional importance: the anti-codon, which is responsible for specific mRNA codon recognition, and the 3' end, to which the tRNAs corresponding amino acid is attached (by aminoacyl-tRNA synthetases). tRNAs cope with the degeneracy of the genetic code in two manners: having more than one tRNA (with a specific anti-codon) for a particular amino acid; and 'wobble' base-pairing, i.e. permitting non-standard base-pairing at the 3rd anti-codon position.
Source: RNAcentral